GGCUGUGACAAUACCAGCAGUAAUGCAUAGGAUCCCAUUAGAACUCUGUAGUUUAGCGUGCUUGCGGGAAAGUAGUACUAUGAUGGGUGACCUUCUGGGAAGUCCUCAUUUUUCACCUUCC
Molecule: non-coding RNA, 121 nt
Organism: Gossypium hirsutum (cotton)
Lineage: Eukaryota; Viridiplantae; Streptophyta; Magnoliopsida; Malvales; Malvaceae
Source: Rfam